RNAcentral lists this ribosomal RNA (253 nucleotides) under uncultured bacterium. RNAcentral's name for it is "partial 16S ribosomal RNA". It matches the Rfam family "Bacterial small subunit ribosomal RNA", at positions 524 to 776 of the family's 1533-position model. The record is from RNAcentral.
UACGAAGGGUGCAAACGUUGCUCGGAAUUAUUGGGCGUAAAGCGCACGUAGGCGGCUUUGCAAGUCGGAUGUGAAAUCCCCCGGCUUAACCAAGGAAGUGCAUCCGAAACUGCAGAGCUUGAGUACUUAAGAGGAUCGCGGAAUUCCCGGUGUAGAGGUGAAAUUCGUAGAUAUCGGGAGGAACACCAGUGGCGAAGGCGGCGAUCUGGGAAGAUACUGACGCUGAGGUGCGAAAGCGUGGGGAGCAAACAGG